AGUCCGCGCAUCGGAAUGAGGAUAAUUUACACCCCUUCUCGAGGAUCCAUUGGAGGGCAAGCCUGGUGCCAGCAGCCGCGGUAAUUCCAGCUCCAAUAGCGUAUACUAAAGUUGUUGCAGUUAAAAAGCUCGUAGUCGAAUGAAGGUUUCUUGUAUAGCGCGGACGUCUAGGUGUAACUUAGAUUAGUUUGCGCACAAGAACCUCCCUUGUGUGUCUCAGAGGAGCAAAUAUUUAUUUAUUUUGAUCCAUUUGCGACACACACAUUACUGUGAACAAAAUAGAGUGUUCAUGGCAGGUCAAUUUAGGCUUGAAUACCUCAGCAUGGAAUAAUAGAAUAGGACUUCCGGUUCUAUUUUGUUGGUUUUUGGAGCCGAAGUAAUGAUUAAUAGGGAUAGUUGGGGGCACUCGUACUCCGUUGUCAGAGGUGAAAUUCUAGGAUUGACGGAAGACGAACAACUGCGAAAGCAUCUGCCAAGGAUGUUUUCAUUGAUCAAGAACGAAAGUUAGGGGAUCGAAGACGAUUAGAUACCGUCGUAGUCCUAACCAUAAACUAUGCCGACUGGGGAUUGGUAGAUGUACCAAACACGACUCUAUCAGCACCCUACGAGAAAUCAAAGUC
RNAcentral lists this ribosomal RNA (620 nucleotides) under uncultured marine eukaryote. RNAcentral's name for it is "bacterial SSU rRNA". It matches the Rfam family "Eukaryotic small subunit ribosomal RNA", at positions 499 to 1105 of the family's 1831-position model. The record is from RNAcentral.